UACGUAGGAGGCAAGCGUUGUCCGGAAUUACUGGGCGUAAAGCGCGUGUAGGUGGUGGGACAAGUCUGCUGUGAAAGCGCCUGGCUUAACCGGGCGAGGUCGGCGGAAACUGUCCGACUCGAGGACGGUAGAGGGGGGUGGAAUUCCCGGUGUAGUGGUGAAAUGCGUAGAGACCCGGAGGAACACCGGUGGCGAAGGCGGCUUCCUGGUCUGCAACUGACGCUGUGGCGCGAAAGCUAGGGGAGCAAACGGG
RNAcentral lists this ribosomal RNA (253 nucleotides) under uncultured bacterium. RNAcentral describes it as "partial 16S ribosomal RNA". It matches the Rfam family "Bacterial small subunit ribosomal RNA", at positions 524 to 776 of the family's 1533-position model. The record is from RNAcentral.